This 252-nucleotide ribosomal RNA is filed under the name Pirateolea piscator. Its description in RNAcentral is "partial 16S large subunit ribosomal RNA". Lineage: Eukaryota; Metazoa; Arthropoda; Insecta; Lepidoptera; Noctuidae. The record is from RNAcentral.
UUAAUUUUUUAAUUAAAAAGUUAAGAUGGUUUAAAAAGACGAGAAGACCCUAUAGAGUUUAAUAAAUAAAUUAUUUGAUAUUAUUUAUAAUUAUAAAAUUGAAAUUAAUUUAUUUAUUUUGUUGGGGUGAUAAAAAAAUAUAAAAAACUUUUUUUUUUAGUUAACAUUUAUAAGUGAUUAAAUGAUCCAAUAUUAUUGAUUAUAAGAAUAAAUUACCUUAGGGAUAACAGCGUAAUUUUUUUUUUUAGUUCA